Molecule: ribosomal RNA, 753 nt
Filed under: Holepyris sp.
Lineage: Eukaryota; Metazoa; Arthropoda; Insecta; Hymenoptera; Bethylidae
Description: partial large subunit ribosomal RNA
Rfam family: Eukaryotic large subunit ribosomal RNA (bases 365-753)
Source: RNAcentral
AAGUUCGAAUGGGGAGAUUCAUCGUCAACGGGGCAGGCCUCGCGGUGACUCGUGAUGUCCCUGGUGCUUAACCGCAUCCCCACGGGCACGCGGUCGUCGCGCUGCCACCGGUCGCGUCGGCGUGCACUUCUCCCCUAGUAGAACGUCGCGACCCGUUGGGUGCCGGUCUUUCGGCCUGGGUGGACGACUGCCGCAUCGUCCAAGGCGCGUGCGGCAGACCCCCGUGUGCCUAGAGUUACCCGGCUGCCCGGCGGUACGCUCAUGGUAUCGGGCCGCAAAAAGCUCGAACUGCGUCGGGACCUUCUCGCCCGCCUCCUCGGAUCUCGGUGGUACCGUCCCAACGGUGCGUCUCCGAAUAUCCGGCUGGCGUUUAACCAGGCGAGAGGUGACCUCCGACUGGCCACUUGAAAAACACACGAUACCGGUCGGCGACGCUACUGCUUUGGGUAAUCUCAGGACCCGUCUUGAAACACGGACCAAGGAGUCUAACAUGUGCGCGAGUCAUUGGGACGUUGCAUGCCUAAAGGCGAAAUGAAAGUGAAGGUCGAUGCUGCCGCCGACCGAGGGAGGAUGGGCCUCGUUACGAUGAGGCUCCGCACUCCCGGGGCGUCUCGUUCUCAUCCGAGGAGAGGCGCACCCAGAGCGUACACGUUGGGACCCGAAAGAUGGUGAACUAUGCCUGGUCAGGACGAAGUCAGGGGAAACCCUGAUGGAGGUCCGUAGCGAUUCUGACGUGCAAAUCGAUCGUCGGAA